Molecule: ribosomal RNA, 484 nt
Filed under: uncultured bacterium
Lineage: Bacteria
Description: partial 16S ribosomal RNA
Rfam family: Bacterial small subunit ribosomal RNA
Source: RNAcentral
GACGAACGCUGGCGGCGUGCUUAACACAUGCAAGUCGAACGAUGAAGCUAGAGCUUGCUCUGGUGGAUUAGUGGCGAACGGGUGAGUAACACGUGAGUAACCUGCCCCGAACUCUGGGAUAGCUGCUGGAAACGGUAGCUAAUACCGGAUAUGACCAAUGAAGGCAUCUUCUGUUGGUGGAAAGAAUUUCGGUUCGGGAUGGACUCGCGGCCUAUCAGCUUGUUGGUGAGGUAACGGCUCACCAAGGCGACGACGGGUAGCCGGCCUGAGAGGGUGAUCGGCCACACUGGGACUGAGACACGGCCCAGACUCCUACGGGAGGCAGCAGUGGGGAAUAUUGUACAAUGGGCGCAAGCCUGAUGCAGCAACGCCGCGUGAGGGAUGACGGCCUUCGGGUUGUAAACCUCUUUUAGUAGGGAAGAAGCGAAAGUGACGGUACCUGCAGAAAAAGCACCGGCUAACUACGUGCCAGCCGCCGCAGUAA